RNAcentral lists this ribosomal RNA (425 nucleotides) under uncultured bacterium. RNAcentral describes it as "bacterial SSU rRNA". It matches the Rfam family "Bacterial small subunit ribosomal RNA", at positions 354 to 796 of the family's 1533-position model. The record is from RNAcentral.
GUGGGGAAUAUUGGACAAUGGGCGCAAGCCUGAUCCAGCCAUGCCGCGUGAGUGAUGAAGGCCUUAGGGUUGUAAAGCUCUUUUGUCCAGGAAGAUAAUGACUGUACCGGAAGAAUAAGCCCCGGCUAACUUCGUGCCAGCAGCCGCGGUAAUACGAAGGGGGCUAGCGUUGCUCGGAAUCACUGGGCGUAAAGGGCGCGUAGGCGGACUUUUAAGUCGGAGGUGAAAGCCCAGGGCUCAACCCUGGAAUUGCCUUCGAUACUGGAAGUCUUGAGUUCGGAAGAGGUUGGUGGAACUGCGAGUGUAGAGGUGAAAUUCGUAGAUAUUCGCAAGAACACCAGUGGCGAAGGCGGCCAACUGGUCCGAUACUGACGCUGAGGCGCGAAAGCGUGGGGAGCAAACAGGAUUAGAAACCCUAGUAGUCC